RNAcentral lists this unclassified non-coding RNA (300 nucleotides) under Hevea brasiliensis (rubber tree). The record is from RNAcentral. Lineage: Eukaryota; Viridiplantae; Streptophyta; Magnoliopsida; Malpighiales; Euphorbiaceae.
ACUAACUGAAAGUUGCUUCUCUUCUGGUGCUAUUCCACAAUUGCUUUGGAAAAAAUUGAACAAGUUUGAAAGGUCCUGGUCCCGGAAUCCUGUGAAUUUGUAGUACAACCCAUCUUUGAUUCGAACACCAAGUUGAUUUGUCCUUGGCACCUUCAUCCAUGUCACUCCUAUAACAUCAGCUUUAUCAACUUCAACUGCUUUACCACCCCCCAGUUUCUUCCAUAGAAUACCCCCCGAAUGUAACUUAAGCUGCCCAGGGUUGGUGCCUCCACGGCCACCGAGGGAGAUAUUGUUGAAGAG